AGACCCGAAACCCGGUGAUCUAGCCAUGGGCAGGUUGAAGGUUGGGUAACACUAACUGGAGGACCGAACCGACUAAUGUUGAAAAAUUAGCGGAUGACCUGUGGCUGGGGGUGAAAGGCCAAUCAAACCGGGAGAUAGCUGGUUCUCCCCGAAAGCUAUUUAGGUAGCGCCUCGUGAAUUCAUCUCCGGGGGUAGAGCACUGUUUCGGCUAGGGGGCCAUCCCGGCUUACCAACCCGAUGCAAACUGCGAAUACCGGAGAAUGUUAUCACGGGAGACACACGGCGGGUGCUAACGUCCGUCGUGAAGAGGGAAACAACCCAGACCGCCAGCUAAGGUCCCAAAGUCAUGGUUAAGUGGGAAACGAUGUGGGAAGGCCCAGACAGCCAGGAUGUUGGCUUAGAAGCAGCCAUCAUUUAAAGAAAGCGUAAUAGCUCACUGGUCGAGUCGGCCUGCGCGGAAGAUGUAACGGGGCUAAACCAUGCACCGAAGCUGCGGCAGCGAACGUAUCACCCAAGACAACUUUACGGAGUUGACGAUUGACGGAGCGAAGCGACGUCAAAGCGUUCAUUAAAGUCGAGUUGGCUUAGGGAUACGUUCGUUGGGUAGGGGAGCGUUCUGUAAGCCUGUGAAGGUGUGUCGUGAGGCAUGCUGGAGGUAUCAGAAGUGCGAAUGCUGACAUAAGUAACGAUAAAGCGGGUGAAAAGCCCGCUCGCCGGAAGACCAAGGGUUCCUGUCCAACGUUAAUCGGGGCAGGGUGAGUCGACCCCUAAGGCGAGGCCGAAAGGCGUAGUCGAUGGGAAACGGGUUAAUAUUCCCGUACUUGGUGUUACUGCGAAGGGGGGACGGAGAAGGCUAUGUUGGCCGGGCGACGGUUGUCCCGGUUUAAGGGUGUAGGUGUGUGUUCCAGGUAAAUCCGGUUCACUUUAACACUGAGGCGUGACGACGAGGCACUACGGUGC
RNAcentral lists this ribosomal RNA (960 nucleotides) under Salmonella enterica subsp. enterica serovar Typhimurium. RNAcentral describes it as "partial 23S ribosomal RNA". It matches the Rfam family "Bacterial large subunit ribosomal RNA", at positions 711 to 1585 of the family's 2925-position model. Lineage: Bacteria; Pseudomonadati; Pseudomonadota; Gammaproteobacteria; Enterobacterales; Enterobacteriaceae. The record is from RNAcentral.